AUCCCAUGAUGGGGACACAUUCUGAUCAGGUCUUUGAAUCUCUCCCAAGCUUCAUAAAUAGACUCAUUGUCAUGCUGGAUGAAAUUGUUGAUCUUCGAUCUCAGCUU
Small nucleolar RNA from Cannabis sativa, 107 nucleotides. Lineage: Eukaryota; Viridiplantae; Streptophyta; Magnoliopsida; Rosales; Cannabaceae. The record is from RefSeq and is a predicted model, not a curated record.